CCUACUGGUGGCAGCAGUGAGGAAUAUUGGUCAAUGGCCGGAAGGCUGAACCAGCCAUGCCGCGUGAAGGUCAGUGCCCUAUGGGCGUUAAACUUCUUUUGUGCGGGAGCAAUAAUGGUCACGUGUGGCCAGACGAGAGUACCGUACGAAUAAGAAUCGGCUAACUCCGUGCCAGCAGCCGCGGUAAUCCGGGGGAUGCAAGCGUUAUCCCGAUUUAUUGGGUUUAAAGGGUGCGUAGGCUGUGAGGUAAGUCAGCGGGGAAAUGCCCCCGCGCAACGGGGUGAAGUGCCAUUGAUACUGCCUGGCUGGAAGGCGGAUGCCGUGGGAGGAAUGUGUGGUGGAGCGGUGAAAUGCAUAGAGAUCACACAGAACACCGAUUGCGAAGGCAUCUCACGAAUCCGCGAUUGACGCUGAUGCACGAAAGCGUGGGUAUCAAACAGGAUUAGAUACCCGAGUAGUC
Molecule: ribosomal RNA, 460 nt
Filed under: uncultured bacterium
Lineage: Bacteria
Description: partial 16S ribosomal RNA
Rfam family: Bacterial small subunit ribosomal RNA
Source: RNAcentral